GUAGUCCACGCCGUAAACGAUGUCGACUUGGAGGUUGUGCCCUUGAGGCGUGGCUUCCGGAGCUAACGCGUUAAGUCGACCGCCUGGGGAGUACGGCCGCAAGGUUAAAACUCAAAUGAAUUGACGGGGGCCCGCACAAGCGGUGGAGCAUGUGGUUUAAUUCGAUGCAACGCGAAGAACCUUACCUGGCCUUGACAUCCACGGAAUUUGGCAGAGAUGCCUUAGUGCCUUCGGGAACCGUGAGACAGGUGCUGCAUGGCUGUCGUCAGCUCGUGUUGUGAAAUGUUGGGUUAAGUCCCGCAACGAGCGCAACCCUUAUCCUUUGUUGCCAGCGAUUCGGUCGGGAACUCAAAGGAGACUGCCGGUGAUAAACCGGAGGAAGGUGGGGAUGACGUCAAGUCAUCAUGGCCCUUACGGCCAGGGCUACACACGUGCUACAAUGGCGCAUACAAAGAGAAGCGACCUCGCGAGAGCAAGCGGACCUCAUAAAGUGCGUCGUAGUCCGGAUUGGAGUCUGCAACUCGACUCCAUGAAGUCGGAAUCGCUAGUAAUCGUAGAUCAGAAUGCUACGGUGAAUA
RNAcentral lists this ribosomal RNA (578 nucleotides) under uncultured Pantoea sp. Its description in RNAcentral is "bacterial SSU rRNA". It matches the Rfam family "Bacterial small subunit ribosomal RNA", at positions 790 to 1368 of the family's 1533-position model. RNAcentral also lists the same sequence under 1 other name. Lineage: Bacteria; Pseudomonadati; Pseudomonadota; Gammaproteobacteria; Enterobacterales; Erwiniaceae. The record is from RNAcentral.